AAAUCUGAUCAAACUACUCAGGGCCUUUAAUAAGACACUUUGUACGAAUUUUUGGAAACGCCUGCUUAGGUAGGGGUUG
This is a non-coding RNA of Ancylostoma duodenale, 79 nucleotides long. The record is from Rfam. Lineage: Eukaryota; Metazoa; Nematoda; Chromadorea; Rhabditida; Ancylostomatidae.